CGCAUAUUGCGCCCAUUGGUAUUCCGAUGGGCAUGCCUGUUCGAGCGUCAUUUAAACCCUCAAGCUUUGCUGCUUGGUGUUGGAGCUUCUAUAGCGCAAGUUAUAGGCUCUCAAAGACUCUGGCGGUAUCCCUUUAGGCCCGGACGUAGUAAUACUUUUCGUUCAGGGAGCUUUAGGGGCUACUCUAGCCAUAACCUUUUAAUUCUUAAAGUUGACCUCGGAUCAGGUAGGAAUACCCGCUGAACUUAA
Molecule: unclassified non-coding RNA, 249 nt
Filed under: Sordariomycetes sp.
Lineage: Eukaryota; Fungi; Ascomycota; Sordariomycetes
Description: partial contains 5.8S ribosomal RNA, internal transcribed spacer 2, and large subunit ribosomal RNA
Source: RNAcentral